ACCUUGGAGGACUAGUGGUUAGGCCACAGCACUCUCAAUGCUGCGGCCCGGGUUCGAUUCCUGGCCUAACUC
This 72-nucleotide transfer RNA is filed under the name Pangasianodon hypophthalmus (striped catfish). It matches the Rfam family "tRNA". From Rfam's summary of the family: Transfer RNA (tRNA) molecules are approximately 80 nucleotides in length. Their secondary structure includes four short double-helical elements and three loops (D, anti-codon, and T loops). Lineage: Eukaryota; Metazoa; Chordata; Actinopteri; Siluriformes; Pangasiidae. The record is from Rfam by way of RNAcentral.